Molecule: long non-coding RNA, 726 nt
Organism: Perca fluviatilis (European perch)
Lineage: Eukaryota; Metazoa; Chordata; Actinopteri; Perciformes; Percidae
Exons: 3
Source: RefSeq, a predicted model, not a curated record
UAUAUUUAAAGAACGGGGCCCUGUUUCUUGUGUAGCAUUUCAUAAGCAAGCUAGCCUGACUAAUUGUGUUUGCAUACUUUCACAUAUAAGCUGUUGGCCUCAAACAGCACACCGAGCAGGUAGAGGAGCUUUUCUGUCCAGCUUUUGGCAGCUCGGUUACCAAAUACUAAAAGGAUUACUCUCAACUGAGACACCAGAGAUCACGGCUUCACUUCACUACGCCACUAUUUACCGCCACGGAUCCAGAGAUGUUCUGCCCGACAUCCUGAGCUUGCCGUCAGCCUCGAGGCGGCACUUUACAGACUCUGUCUAACGGAGUGAGAGAGCCAGAGCCAGGGCAUUAUAAAACAAAAGAUUGGACAGGAUUCAAUAGAUUCCAAUAUCAGAGAUGAAAGGCGGGGUAUCAGCCUCUCUCCUCUUUUUCCAAAGCCAGUCAGUUGCAGACCCAAGCAGUGAGAGGGAUUAUCCCUCUAUUUCUAUUAGUCACACGCUCAUAAGCCAUGUAUCACUCUGAAGCUUUGUGUCAGCAACUCCACACCCGAAGUGGAGGGACUUCUCAUUAUUGGCGGAUUGAGAGGUUUUAGCUUACACAGGGACAGCAAUAUUCUGAAAGUCAAGUCGUGUUUGAAGCAAGGCAAAUGCAUUUCACAGAUUACGACAUGGCGUAAUAUGUUUUAACUUUCAUUGCUUCUAUGACUCCUUAAUUGGUAUAUUAGUUAAACUUAG